Molecule: ribosomal RNA, 521 nt
Filed under: uncultured archaeon
Lineage: Archaea
Description: bacterial SSU rRNA
Rfam family: Archaeal small subunit ribosomal RNA
Source: RNAcentral
ACGGGGUGCAGCAGGCGCGAAAACUUUGCAAUGUGCGAAAGCACGACAAGGUUAAUCCGAGUGGUUUCUGCUAAAGGAACCUUUUGUUAGUCGUAGAACCACUAACGAAUAAGGGGUGGGCAAGUUCUGGUGUCAGCCGCCGCGGUAAAACCAGCACCUCAAGUGGUUAGGAUGAUUAUUGGGCCUAAAGCAUCCGUAGCCUGAUCUGUAAGUUUUCGGUUAAAUCUGUACGCUCAAUGUACAGGCUGCCGGGAAUACUGCAGAUCUAGGGAGUGGGAGAGGUAGACGGUACUCGGGAGGAAGUGGUAAAAUGCUUUGAUCUUUCGAUGACCACCUGUGGCGAAGGCGGUCUACCAGAGCACGUCCGACGGUGAGGGAUGAAAGCUGGGGGAGCAAACCGGAUUAGAUACCCGGGUAGUCCCAGCUGUAAACUAUGCAAACUCAGUGAUGCAUUGGCUUGUGGCCAAUGCAGUGUUGCAGGGAAGCCGUUAAGUUUGCCGCCUGGAAGUACGUACGCAAGU